AGCACAGUGGUUAGUGCACAGCCCCGGAAAGGUUGAGACGCGGGUUCGAUUCCCGC
Molecule: transfer RNA, 56 nt
Filed under: Nippostrongylus brasiliensis
Lineage: Eukaryota; Metazoa; Nematoda; Chromadorea; Rhabditida; Heligmosomidae
Rfam family: tRNA
About the family: Transfer RNA (tRNA) molecules are approximately 80 nucleotides in length. Their secondary structure includes four short double-helical elements and three loops (D, anti-codon, and T loops).
Source: Rfam by way of RNAcentral